RNAcentral lists this ribosomal RNA (1083 nucleotides) under Ulocladium sp. F14. Its description in RNAcentral is "SSU rRNA". It matches the Rfam family "Eukaryotic small subunit ribosomal RNA", at positions 42 to 1135 of the family's 1831-position model. Lineage: Eukaryota; Fungi; Ascomycota; Dothideomycetes; Pleosporales; Pleosporaceae. The record is from RNAcentral.
GAUUAAGCCAUGCAUGUCUAAGUAUAAGCAAUUAUACCGUGAAACUGCGAAUGGCUCAUUAAAUCAGUUAUCGUUUAUUUGAUAAUACCUUACUACUUGGAUAACCGUGGUAAUUCUAGAGCUAAUACAUGCUGAAAAUCCCGACUUCGGAAGGGAUGUGUUUAUUAGAUAAAAAACCAAUGCCCUUCGGGGCUUUUUGGUGAUUCAUGAUAACUUUACGGAUCGCAUAGCCUUGCGCUGGCGACGGUUCAUUCAAAUUUCUGCCCUAUCAACUUUCGAUGGUAAGGUAUUGGCUUACCAUGGUUUCAACGGGUAACGGGGAAUUAGGGUUCGAUUCCGGAGAGGGAGCCUGAGAAACGGCUACCACAUCCAAGGAAGGCAGCAGGCGCGCAAAUUACCCAAUCCCGACACGGGGAGGUAGUGACAAUAAAUACUGAUACAGGGCUCUUUUGGGUCUUGUAAUUGGAAUGAGUACAAUUUAAACCUCUUAACGAGGAACAAUUGGAGGGCAAGUCUGGUGCCAGCAGCCGCGGUAAUUCCAGCUCCAAUAGCGUAUAUUAAAGUUGUUGCAGUUAAAAAGCUCGUAGUUGAAACUUGGGCCUGGCUGGCGGGUCCGCCUCACCGCGUGCACUCGUCCGGCCGGGCCUUCCUUCUGAAGAACCUCAUGCCCUUCACUGGGCGUGCUGGGGAAUCAGGACUUUUACUUUGAAAAAAUUAGAGUGUUCAAAGCAGGCCUUUGCUCGAAUACGUUAGCAUGGAAUAAUAAAAUAGGGCGUGCGUUUCUAUUUUGUUGGUUUCUAGAGACGCCGCAAUGAUUAACAGGAACAGUCGGGGGCAUCAGUAUUCAGUUGUCAGAGGUGAAAUUCUUGGAUUUACUGAAGACUAACUACUGCGAAAGCAUUUGCCAAGGAUGUUUUCAUUAAUCAGUGAACGAAAGUUAGGGGAUCGAAGACGAUCAGAUACCGUCGUAGUCUUAACCGUAAACUAUGCCGACUAGGGAUCGGGCGAUGUUCUUUUUCUGACUCGCUCGGCACCUUACGAGAAAUCAAAGUUUUUGGGUUCUGGGGGGAUUAUGGUCGCAAG